AGUGAACGCUGGCGGUAGGCCUAACACAUGCAAGUCGAACGGCAGCACAGUAAGAGCUUGCUCUUACGGGUGGCGAGUGGCGGACGGGUGAGGAAUACAUCGGAAUCUACUUUUUCGUGGGGGAUAACGUAGGGAGACUUACGCUAAUACCGCAUACGACCUACGGGUGAAAGCAGGGGAUCUUCGGACCUUGCGCGAUUGAAUGAGCCGAUGUCGGAUUAGCUAGUUGGCGGGGUAAAGGCCCACCAAGGCGACGAUCCGUAGCUGGUCUGAGAGGAUGAUCAGCCACACUGGAACUGAGACACGGACCAGACUCCUACGGGAGGCAGCAGUGGGGAAUAUUGGACAAUGGGCGCAAGCCUGAUCCAGCCAUACCGCGUGGGUGAAGAAGGCCUUCGGGUUGUAAAGCCCUUUUGUUGGGAAAGAAAAGCAGCAGGUUAAUACCCCGCUGUUCUGACGGUACCCAAAGAAUAAGCACCGGCUAACUUCGUG
RNAcentral lists this ribosomal RNA (492 nucleotides) under uncultured bacterium. Its description in RNAcentral is "partial 16S ribosomal RNA". It matches the Rfam family "Bacterial small subunit ribosomal RNA", at positions 29 to 507 of the family's 1533-position model. The record is from RNAcentral.